GAUGAACGCUGGCGGCGUGCCUAAUACAUGCAAGUCGAGCGAACAGACGAGGAGCUUGCUCCUCUGAUGUUAGCGGCGGACGGGUGAGUAACACGUGGAUAACCUACCUAUAAGACUGGGAUAACUUCGGGAAACCGGAGCUAAUACCGGAUAACAUGUUGAACCGCAUGGUUCAACAGUGAAAGACGGUCUUGCUGUCACUUAUAGAUGGAUCCGCGCCGCAUUAGCUAGUUGGUAAGGUAACGGCUUACCAAGGCAACGAUGCGUAGCCGACCUGAGAGGCGGAUCGGCCACACUGGAACUGAGACACGGUCCAGACUCCUACGGUAGGCAGCAGUAGGGAAUCUUCCGCAAUGGGCGAAAGCCUGACGGAGCAACGCCGCGUGAGUGAAGAAGGUCUUCGGAUCGUAAAACUCUGUUAUUAGGGAAGAACAAAUGUGUAAGUAACUAUGCACGUCUUGACGGUACCUAAUCAGAAAGCCACGGCUAACUACGUG
This 497-nucleotide ribosomal RNA is filed under the name uncultured bacterium. RNAcentral describes it as "partial 16S ribosomal RNA". It matches the Rfam family "Bacterial small subunit ribosomal RNA", at positions 28 to 507 of the family's 1533-position model. The record is from RNAcentral.